AUACGUAGGGGGCGAGCGUUGUCCGGAAUGAUUGGGCGUAAAGGGCGCGUAGGCGGCCUGUUAAGUCUGGAGUGAAAGUCCUGUUUUUAAGAUGGGAAUUGCUUUGGAUACUGUCGGGCUUGAGUGCAGGAGAGGUAAGUGGAAUUCCCAGUGUAGCGGUGAAAUGCGUAGAGAUUGGGAGGAACACCAGUGGCGAAGGCGACUUACUGGACUGUAACUGACGCUGAGGCGCGAAAGUGUGGGGAGCAAACAGGAUUAGAUACCCUGGUAGUCCACACUGUAAACGAUGAAUGCUAGGUGUAGGGGGUAUCGACCCCUUCUGUGCCGCAGUCAACACAAUAAGCAUUCCGCCUGGGGAGUACGGCAGCAAGGUUGAAACUCAAAGGAAUUGACGGGG
RNAcentral lists this ribosomal RNA (397 nucleotides) under uncultured bacterium. RNAcentral describes it as "partial 16S ribosomal RNA". It matches the Rfam family "Bacterial small subunit ribosomal RNA", at positions 523 to 918 of the family's 1533-position model. The record is from RNAcentral.